Brugia malayi is the source of this 84-nucleotide small nucleolar RNA. The record is from RefSeq and is a predicted model, not a curated record. NCBI's taxonomy places the organism in Eukaryota, Metazoa, Nematoda, Chromadorea, Rhabditida, Onchocercidae.
UGGCAAUGAUUGAGGAAAUGUUAACUUCGCGGUUUCCACUCGAGAUGCGUCCAUGUGGGUAUAUUUCCUUGGAUGUCUGAGCCA